UCCGCGCGAUAUCGAGCGCCUCCUGCAUCCGAGAGGCUGUAGCGGCGACCUCAUGCCCGAGUUCGCAUAGUGUAUCUUCAAUCAGCAUGGCGAUCAUGGAUUCGUCUUCGACCACGAGAACCCGAAGUCU
RNAcentral lists this small RNA (130 nucleotides) under Sinorhizobium meliloti 2011. RNAcentral's name for it is "putative ncRNA". Lineage: Bacteria; Pseudomonadati; Pseudomonadota; Alphaproteobacteria; Hyphomicrobiales; Rhizobiaceae. The record is from RNAcentral.